CGUAAUACCGGCAGCCCGAGUGAUGACCGCUAUUAUUGGGCCUAAAGCGUCCGUAGCUGGCCACACAAGUCCGUCGGGAAAUCUGCUCGCCUAACGAGCAGGCGUCCGGCGGAAACUGUGUGGCUUGGGACCGGAAGAUCCAGAGGGUACGUCUGGGGUAGGAGUGAAAUCCUGUAAUCCUGGACGGACCACCGGUGGCGAAAGCGCUCUGGAAGGACGGAUCCGACAGUGAGGGACGAAAGCUAGGGUCACGAACCGGAUUAGAUACCCGGGUAGUCCUAGCCGUAAACGAUGUCUGCUAGGUGUGUCACAGGCUACGAGCCUGUGGUGUGCCGUAGGGAAGCCGUGAAGCAGACCGCCUGGAAGUAC
This 369-nucleotide ribosomal RNA is filed under the name Natronobiforma cellulositropha. Its description in RNAcentral is "bacterial SSU rRNA". It matches the Rfam family "Archaeal small subunit ribosomal RNA", at positions 469 to 838 of the family's 1478-position model. Lineage: Archaea; Methanobacteriati; Methanobacteriota; Halobacteria; Halobacteriales; Natrialbaceae. The record is from RNAcentral.